RNAcentral lists this ribosomal RNA (253 nucleotides) under uncultured bacterium. RNAcentral describes it as "partial 16S ribosomal RNA". It matches the Rfam family "Bacterial small subunit ribosomal RNA", at positions 524 to 776 of the family's 1533-position model. The record is from RNAcentral.
UACAGAGGUCUCGAGCGUUAAUCGGAGUCACUGGGCUUAAAGGGUGCGUAGGCGGUCUCACAAGUGCUUUGUGAAAUCCCAUGGCUCAACCAUGGAAUUGCUCGGCAGACUGUGAGACUUGAGGUCGGUAGGGGCUGCUGGAACUCUAGGUGGAGCGGUGAAAUGCGUAGAUAUCUAGAGGAACGCCAAAGGUGAAGACAGGCAGCUGGGCCGAUUCUGACGCUGAGGCACGAAAGCGUGGGUAGCAAACGGG